Equus caballus (horse) is the source of this 1135-nucleotide long non-coding RNA. RefSeq lists it as uncharacterized. The record is from RefSeq and is a predicted model, not a curated record. Lineage: Eukaryota; Metazoa; Chordata; Mammalia; Perissodactyla; Equidae.
CCACAGAGGUAUGGCCUUUGCCCUUGGCUACUGGGAGAUGAUGGCUAGGCCCUGGGAUGUCCUGCUUGGUGAGAGGGUCUUUGCCUGUGGGCUCUGACCACCAGACAGUCUAACAGUGUGAUCCACGAUGGGGCUCUGGGUGACCUGGAACCACUGCAGUCUCUGGAGGACCUGGAGAUUAAUGCCAUCUGCCCCUCCUCAACUCUGCCCUAUGCGUCUCUUCCGUGGGCUGACUCUAAUCUGCAUUCUUUCCCUGUAAUAAACUGUAAUUGUGAGCUUCACAGCUUCCAGAGAGUUCUGAGUUCUAAGAGUCCCCCCUGUGAACUGCUGAAGCUGAGAAUGGUUCUGGGAACCCAGUGAACUCGCAAUUGGUGUCAAAAAACAAGUGCCUCUUCUGCUCCAGAAGCAAAGGCAAGACUGCACUGAGCCCCUUCUGAGUGCUCCGGAUCCAGGACGCAAACACCACGUGGAAAUCCUUCCCAGUUUCCUUUCACCAGAGGACUCCAUCCACCACCUUCCUAGCAUUUAUCCAGAAGAAAAGACUGCGAAGGAAAAAUUUCUGCAAGAUCUUCAAGUUGGAAUAAAAGGCAUAUGCUGCAAAUAAAAUUACUCCACGUGAAAAUAAAGUUUAUAAUGUAAAUAUCUUCAUUUUAUCUAUCUACACAUACGAUUUCACACAUCACACAUCCAGUUGAGAAACGACGUGACUUUAAGAAGUCUGCUUUCUAGUCAUUGGCAGGUCAGGCUAGUCUAGUUUUGUUUAGUUUCUUCACCAGUCUGCUGCGAGAGGUUUGGCUUAGAUCAGCAUGGAAAAUGAUGACUUGUUCAGUCAGCAGAAUGAGUUUUAACCUCAUAUUCCACUGCAAUCAUGUCACUCUUUGUUACAGUAAGAAAGGAAGGAGCUGCUUUCUACACCACGGCAUUCUGGACUGUAUCAAUGGACCACCAAGGCUGGCACUAAUCCUCGAUCAGGAAGUUCAAAUCAAAGUACCAGUUAGGCUUUUUGGCUGUUACAACCAUUAUUUUUUAGCUAUAACCUAUCACAGAAAAGUAAUCCGAGAGAUUUUUUUUGACUCUCAAAAAUCACUCAUUAUCACCAGGAUCCAAUCUUCAUUAAAAUGCUUUUAGGCAUUCA